Molecule: ribosomal RNA, 1503 nt
Filed under: metagenome
Description: bacterial SSU rRNA
Rfam family: Bacterial small subunit ribosomal RNA
Source: RNAcentral
AGAGUUUGAUUCUGGCUCAGAAUGAACGCUGGCGGCGUGCUUAACACAUGCAAGUCGAACGAGAAAGCCCUUUCGGGGGUGAGUAGAGUGGCGAACGGGUGAGUAACGCGUGAGAAUCUUCCCUUUAGUGAAGGAUACCCUCGAGAAAUCGGGGUUAAUACUGCAUAAGUCUUGGGUAAAACCCAGAGAAAGCUGGCCUCUUGCUAGCGCUGAAGGAUGAGCUCGCGUUCUAUUAGCUUGUUGGUGGGGUAAAGGCCUACCAAGGCAAUGAUGGAUAGCCGGCCUGAGAGGGUGUACGGCCACAUUGGGACUGAGAUACGGCCCAGACUCCUACGGGAGGCAGCAGUGGGGAAUAUUGCGCAAUGGGGGAAACCCUGACGCAGCGACGCCGCGUGGAGGAUGACGGUUUUAGGAUUGUAAACUCCUGUUAAGUGGGAAGAAAUGGCAGAGCUUAAUACGCUUUGCAGCUGACGGUACCACUAAAGAAAGCACCGGCUAACUUCGUGCCAGCAGCCGCGGUAAUACGAGGGGUGCAAGCGUUAUUCGGAGUUACUGGGCGUAAAGUGCGCGUAGGCGGUUUGUUAAGUCGGUCGUUAAAGACCCCAGCUCAACUGGGGAAAGGCUACCGAUACUGGCAGACUAGAGGAUAAGAGAGAGAGGUGGAAUUCUCGGAGUAGCGGUAAAAUGCGUAGAUCUCGAGAGGAACAUCGGUUGCGAAGGCGGCUUCUUGGCUUAUUCCUGACGCUGAGGCGCGAAAGCGUGGGGAGCAAACAGGAUUAGAUACCCUGGUAGUCCACGCCGUAAACGAUGAUCACUAGAUGUUGGUUUUGCUUAGCAAGAUCAGUGUCGAAGCUAACGCGUUAAGUGAUCCGCCUGAGUAGUACGGUCGCAAGAUUAAAACUCAAAGAAAUUGACGGGGGUCCGCACAAGCGGUGGAACAUGUGGUUUAAUUCGACACUACGCGAGGAACCUUACCUAGGCUUGACAUGUAAUUGCUACCGAUGGAAACAUUGGGUUCUGUGUUUACACAGACGGUUACACAGGUGCUGCAUGGCUGUCGUCAGCUCGUGUCGUGAGAUGUUGGGUUAAGUCCUUUAACGAGCGCAACCCUUGCCGUUAGUUGCUACUCCUUUGGAAAGCACUCUAGCGGGACUGCCUUGGAAACAAGGAGGAAGGUGGGGAUGACGUCAAGUCCUCAUGGCCCUUAUGCCUAGGGCUACACACGUGUUACAAUGGCGAGCACAACGGGUAGCGAAGUCGCGAGGCGGAGCUAAUCCUAUAAAACUCGUCUAAGUUCGGAUUGGAGUCUGCAAUUCGACUCCAUGAAGCUGAAAUCGCUAGUAAUCGUGUAUCAGAACGACGCGGUGAAUACGUUCUCGGACCUUGUACACACCGCCCGUCACACCACGUAAGUCGUCAGCGCCCGAAAUCGCCUUAGCCAACCUUUUAGGAGGCGGGUGAUGAAGGUGAGGGGGAUGAUUGGGGUGAAGUCGUAACAAGGUA